Long non-coding RNA from Liolophura sinensis, 302 nucleotides. RefSeq lists it as uncharacterized. The transcript has 3 exons. The record is from RefSeq and is a predicted model, not a curated record. Lineage: Eukaryota; Metazoa; Mollusca; Polyplacophora; Chitonida; Chitonidae.
UCCUUGGCGAUUUCCAAUAUCACAGAAUCCACAGCAGUCGUCAAUCGAACCAAGGGAGACAACUUUGCUCAACACAAAUUCGAGUCCAGGGGAAGCAAGAAGGCGUCUCUUUUGCUCAACACCCGGGUUAUCUUCUCGAUCAGAGUCUGAUGUUGACGACGCCCUGACGUGCACCAUUCUCAACUAUCUGGUCAAAAAGAACAUUCUCACCCCGGAAGAUUCAGCGCGCCUGCGCCAAAACGCAAGGGGAAGUAAUCAGACAUUUCCGGAUUUAGGGCGCACAUGUAGCACGCCUACGAAGU